Molecule: long non-coding RNA, 1868 nt
Organism: Gadus macrocephalus (Pacific cod)
Lineage: Eukaryota; Metazoa; Chordata; Actinopteri; Gadiformes; Gadidae
Exons: 2
Source: RefSeq, a predicted model, not a curated record
GUUUCCCUGUUCGGUGACUAAAAGUAGGCUAUCAUUUGUAUUCUAAGCUUUAAUGAUUAAUCAGUAUUCAGAGCUUUUUUUUUUUUUUUCACGUAGCUAUAUGCUACGUGACAUUACCAGAGCGAGGGAGGGAAACCAAGCGAGACCAAGCAGAGAAGCGAGAGAGGUUGAGGAAGAAUAGAUAUAUGGUUUCCCUUAACUUUAUAACACAACAUUAGCCGGAUCUCGGGAGGAAAGUAAUGCUUAGCGAAAUGCUAACCUUAUCUUAGCUGUUUGUUUAAGUUCGCUGUACAGCACCGCCGCCGCGCCAAUCAACUGUGGCUGGCUUGCUGCAGAGCGGGAGCGUCUUAUAUAUUGUGGCGACUCCUACGGGGGUCACGCCGGGGAUUCUGAGAAUCCGUGAUGCCGGUUGGGGAAAAGGGGUUUUAUUGUAUUUUUGUGUUGGGGUAAACGGGUUUGGGGUGUGUGCUCGGUAGAGUGAAGUUGUGUGUUGUGGAGUGUUUACUUGUUGUGUGUAGUGUUGCCGCUGUCAUGCCAAAUUUGUACCGGCCUACGUCAUCAGUUGUUGACAACUUGACAACUGAUUUGAUUGGGUUGUCCGUUGCCGGGCAGGUUUCAAAAAACAAGACGAAAUAACAUAAUACAGAUAACGGAUCGCUAGAUAACACUUGUUUUUACUAUAUAUUUGUGUUGGAUUGAAUUGUUUAAUCGAAUUUAGCUAGUAAACUGAGUGUUUAAAGCAGGUUUCAAAAACCAUUCGCGCUUAUGUUGCCGAACACCAAAUAACAUAAUACAGAUAACGGAUCGCUAGAUAACACUUGUUUUUACUUUAUAUUUGUAUUGUAUUGAAUUGUUUCAAAAACUUGUCUUGUCACGCUCAAUGAAGGAGUGCAAUGAACGAGCAUGAAAGUUCGCGAAUGUUCAAGAACCUUCCUACGUCAUUCGACGCGAUCGCCCGUUGCCAGGCAGGUUUGGAAUUUGUCAACAACUGAUGACGUAGGCCGGUACAAAUUUGGCAGCCGGUACAAAUUUGGCAUGACACCGCCACCGUUACCGAGAAUUACAUGUCUGUUGGUUGGGUGUGCGGUGCGCUCUGUGUUGUGUGUCGUGUUAAAUAUAGGCAGCGCUCGUAGUCGUGCGGUGUAUGGGGUACGAGGGGCGUCAUCACUUAACCUGGGCUCCCGUCUCGUCCUUCUCGCCACAAUAUGGACACAUAAGACAAUCAAUACUCGGUAUUUGUUAUGGAUUUAUUGUACAAAUUCCCUGAAAAGAUGCACGUUCCAGGAUGAAUUGAAAGGCUCCCAUAAGGGCUGAGAUGGCAGAGGACAGCUGAUUUGGAACGCAACAACAGCUGUUCGCUUCCACAGGGAAAAACGAAGGAACUCCAACUUACUUAGGCCUACUAAUUAACGUUCAAAAGCUAUUAAUCUUCAAGAAAAUAGGCAGAUACUGUCAUCAAAUUAGGGAGUAUAUAGGGAUUAUUAAUGUUUUUGAUGGCGUGUUUUUCUGGAACGAGUAUUCGAAUACUCGCUCGGAAAAACCAACGAGUAUUCGAAGCCUGAAAAGUGGCAUUCGGGCCAGCCCUUGCGAUACAACUGCACACCGUCAUGACGCCCGUCUUUACGACGGCAGUUCAAGGAAACUUUGGCUUGAAGCACCUUCAUGUAUCAUCAUGAAUUGGUCUGCAUAUAACGAUAAUCAUAGUUAUACGGAUGUAGUUAACCACUUUGGAUGCAUGAAACUUUGGCUUGAAGCACCUUCAUGUAUCAUCAUGAAUUGGUCCAUAUAUAUGGCGAUAAUCAUAGUUAUAUGGAUGUAGUUAACCACUUUGGAUGCAUGCAUAGCCUAGCCAACUCAAAAUCUAGUUA